Molecule: ribosomal RNA, 465 nt
Filed under: uncultured bacterium
Lineage: Bacteria
Description: partial 16S ribosomal RNA
Rfam family: Bacterial small subunit ribosomal RNA
Source: RNAcentral
CCUACGGGAGGCUGCAGUGGGGAAUUUUGCGCAAUGCUCGUAAGAGUGACGCAGCGACGCCGCGUGAAUGACGAAGGCCUUCGGGUCGUAAAGUUCUUUCGACAGGGAAGAAAAUGCCUAUAAGUAACUGUGUAUGUAUUGACGCUACCUGCAUAAGCAGCCCCGGCUAACUCCGUGCCAGCAGCCGCGGUAAUACGGAGGGGGCGAGCGUUGUUCGGAGUGACUGGGCGUAAAGAGCACGUAGGCGGUGUUGUAAGUCAUUAGUCAAAGACUAGAGCUCAACUUUAGGAAGGCUAGUGAUACUAUAAUGCUAGAGUAUCAGAGAGGAUGGCGGAAUUCCUGGUGUAGCGGUGAAAUGCGUAGAUAUCAGGAGGAAUACCGUUGGCGAAGGCGGCAAGCUGGAUGGAAACUGACGCUGAGGUGCGAAAGCGUGGGUAGCAAACAGGAUUAGAUACCCUUGUAGUC